GGGUACUUAGCUCAGUCGGUAGAGCAUCUGACUUUUAAUCAGAGGGUCACAGGUUCGAUUCCUGUAGUACCCACCA
Molecule: transfer RNA, 76 nt
Filed under: Candidatus Hepatincola sp. Av
Lineage: Bacteria; Pseudomonadati; Pseudomonadota; Alphaproteobacteria; Rhodospirillales; Candidatus Hepatincolaceae
Also listed under: 2 other names
Description: tRNA-Lys
Rfam family: tRNA
About the family: Transfer RNA (tRNA) molecules are approximately 80 nucleotides in length. Their secondary structure includes four short double-helical elements and three loops (D, anti-codon, and T loops).
Source: RNAcentral